GUUUUAAUCUAGCAUUGAACCAGCCUAAAAACAACUUUAACUGUAAAUGCUAAAGUUGUUUUGAUGCUGAGAUACCAUGAAUAUAUGACUGAUAAGUAGUAAUGUGCUAAGAUCGGCACUGGGAAGCAACUCUCCCUGCCUGCUUAACAUAAGCUUUCACUGUCAAAUAAGUGAGAAAAUGAAUAUUAGAGUUGAUACUAUGGACUUCUAUUUUUCUAUUCAGAGAGAAGAUCCAUUAGACUUAUGUAUGCAUGUCUGUGUGUGUGUGUGUGCGCGCGCGUGUGCGUGUGUGUGAUCUGAGGUUUACAUUCUUUUAAAGGAUUUUAUCUUUCCCUUUGUAGAGUCAGCGUGGGAGAAAUUGUAACGAGAAACCAACAAAUGUCAGGAAAAGAAAAUUCAUUAACAGAGAUCUGGCUCAUGAUUCAGAAGAACUCUUUCAAGAUCUAAGUCAAUUACAAGAAACAUGGCUUGCAGAAGCUCAGGUACCUGACAAUGAUGAGCAGUUUGUACCAGACUAUCAGGCUGAAAGUUUGGCUUUUCAUGGCCUACCACUGAAAAUCAAGAAAGAACCCCAUAGUCCAUGUUCAGAAAUCGGCUCUGCCUGCAGUCAAGAACAGCCCUUUAAAUUCAGCUAUGGAGAAAAGUGCCUGUACAAUGUCAGUGCCUAUGAUCAGAAGCCACAAGUGGGAAUGAGGCCCUCCAACCCCCCCACACCAUCCAGCACGCCAGUGUCCCCACUGCAUCAUGCAUCUCCAAACUCAACUCAUACACCGAAACCUGACCGGGCCUUCCCAGCUCACCUCCCUCCAUCGCAGUCCAUACCAGAUAGCAGCUACCCCAUGGACCA
This 847-nucleotide small RNA is filed under the name Pongo abelii (Sumatran orangutan). Its description in RNAcentral is "retained intron". The record is from RNAcentral. Lineage: Eukaryota; Metazoa; Chordata; Mammalia; Primates; Hominidae.